GGGUGGUAAUGCCGGAUGCUCCGACUCCUCGCAUGGGGUGUCGGGAAAGAUUUCAUCGGUAUGGGAUGGGGUCGCGUCCUAUCAGGUAGUCGGCGGGGUAACGGCCCACCGAGCCUACGACGGGUAGCCGGCCUGAGAGGGCGACCGGCCACAUUGGGACUGAGAUACGGCCCAGACUCCUACGGGAGGCAGCAGUGGGGAAUAUUGCACAAUGGGCGCAAGCCUGAUGCAGCGACGCCGCGUGCGGGAUGACGGCCUUCGGGUUGUAAACCGCUUUUGAUCGGGAGCAAGCCUUCGGGUGAGUGUACCUUUCGAAUAAGCACCGGCUAACUACGUGCCAGCAGCCGCGGUAAUACGUAGGGUGCAAGCGUUAUCCGGAAUUAUUGGGCGUAAAGGGCUCGUAGGCGGUUCGUCGCGUCCGGUGUGAAAGUCCAUCGCUUAACGGUGGAUCUGCGCCGGGUACGGGCGGGCUGGAGUGCGGUAGGGGAGACUGGAAUUCCCGGUGUAACGGUGGAAUGUGUA
RNAcentral lists this ribosomal RNA (522 nucleotides) under Bifidobacterium pseudocatenulatum. Its description in RNAcentral is "bacterial SSU rRNA". It matches the Rfam family "Bacterial small subunit ribosomal RNA", at positions 158 to 692 of the family's 1533-position model. Lineage: Bacteria; Bacillati; Actinomycetota; Actinomycetes; Bifidobacteriales; Bifidobacteriaceae. The record is from RNAcentral.